UACGUAGGGGGCGAGCGUUAUCCGGAAUUAUUGGGCGUAAAGAGUGCGUAGGUGGUUUUUUAAGCGUGGGGUGAAAGGCAAUGGCUCAACCAUUGUAAGCCUUGCGAACUGGAAGACUUGAGUGCAGGAGAGGAAAGCGGAAUUCCUAGUGUAGCGGUGAAAUGCGUAGAUAUUAGGAGGAACACCAGUGGCGAAGGCGGCUUUCUGGACUGUAACUGACACUGAGGCACGAAAGCGUGGGGAGCAAACA
RNAcentral lists this ribosomal RNA (250 nucleotides) under uncultured bacterium. Its description in RNAcentral is "partial 16S ribosomal RNA". It matches the Rfam family "Bacterial small subunit ribosomal RNA", at positions 524 to 774 of the family's 1533-position model. RNAcentral also lists the same sequence under 1 other name. The record is from RNAcentral.